GUAAUGGCCGACAUACGAUAGUUUGCGCUGACGUCUAUUCAAACCUAGGAAGUGUUGCAAACAGUUGAUCGGAUCAACAAAGUGUGUUUCUGGAAUAUUAUGUUUUUGUUUCCGCAAGUGUUUUUUAUGCAGUUUUUGCAAAGCUUUAUGUGGAAGGAAACCGGGACCUAGGACAAGCUGAUGGCAUAAGAUGUGUUUUGUGCCAGAAAUGGAGUGUCCACUGAAGACUGAAGAUACUGAAUCUCUACGCUGUGCCAUUGAUCCCUCCUGUGCCUUCAUCUAGACAAGAGACAUUAACUUAACCACUCUCACAUGCUCUGUACCUACAUCACCUUCCCUGACAGUCGUAGCUUGGCUCAUCUGAGGAUGCUGACAAGCUGACACAGUAACAUGGAAGAGGGAGAGAAGCUGGAAA
Long non-coding RNA from Oreochromis aureus, 415 nucleotides. NCBI's taxonomy places the organism in Eukaryota, Metazoa, Chordata, Actinopteri, Cichliformes, Cichlidae. The record is from Ensembl.